ACUUUCUAUCAAACAAAAAAUGGCGAAAAAAAAAAAUCGUAUGAAUUUUAGUCCAACUAAAAAUUAUUUUGUACUUAAAUUAAAAAAAAAAAUUUCUGUGCGCGUGGCCUACCAGCAUUUUUUCAAAACAAAAAAAGGGUAAACUUUCCGUGUGGUUUUGCACUUUUUCAUUUUAGUACCCUCCGAUUUAAAGUGUAUCAAGUCAGUACCUUAUGGUUUCAUUUUUCUCUUUUCGUCAACCCCUCUGUUAGUAUUUUUUAAAAUUAUAUACAAAAAAACUUUAGAAUACAAAAAAACUUUAGAAUAAUACCUCACCUAGGUUUAUCGAAUAUUCACUUUAGUACUCUUUAGUUUUAACUCUGUUACUGAUUUAACGAAAAAAAAUAGUAAAAUAGAAAAUAAAAAGAGAAAAAUAAAAACCACAUUGCACUAAAUUUAUACACUUUAAAUUAUAGGAUAUUAAAAUGAGGAAGUAUGAAAUCAAUUUCACAGGGUGGUAUUUGAAGUUUUUAAAAAAAAAAAAAGUUAU
RNAcentral lists this long non-coding RNA (529 nucleotides) under Ananas comosus (pineapple). RNAcentral's name for it is "long non-coding RNA (ACOM_LNC039074)". Lineage: Eukaryota; Viridiplantae; Streptophyta; Magnoliopsida; Poales; Bromeliaceae. The record is from RNAcentral.